GAUGUCAAAUAUGAUGGCUCAACCAUCAAGAGGCGUUGAAAACUGUUUAUCUAGAAUCUCGGAGAGGUAAGUGGAAUUCCAUGUGUAGCGGUGGAAUGCGUAGAUAUAUGGAGGAACACCAAUGGCGAAGGCAGCUUACUGGACGAAGAUUGACGCUGAGGUGCGAAAGCGUGGGUAGCAAACAGGAUUAGAUACCCUGGUAG
RNAcentral lists this ribosomal RNA (203 nucleotides) under uncultured bacterium. RNAcentral's name for it is "partial 16S ribosomal RNA". It matches the Rfam family "Bacterial small subunit ribosomal RNA", at positions 591 to 793 of the family's 1533-position model. The record is from RNAcentral.